AGGGAGGACAAAAUCUUUGACAUCCUUCCACAUUUGGGGCCACCAAAAAUCUCGAGAAAUAAGUUCCAAGGUCUUAUUGAAUCCAAAAUGUCCCGCAGUUGGAAAGUCAUAUCGAGAUUAGAGAACUCUGAGUCGUGUUGGUCCCUUUGGAAUAUACAACCGCUCCUCAAAGUAUAAAAGAUCUCCUUCUACCUUGAACUUGUCAUUUUUGACAUGUUGCGUGAUAUCGAAGGCUACAAAAUCUCCAAUACUUGCAGUACGU
Molecule: long non-coding RNA, 262 nt
Filed under: Physcomitrium patens
Lineage: Eukaryota; Viridiplantae; Streptophyta; Bryopsida; Funariales; Funariaceae
Description: long non-coding RNA (PPAT_LNC006899)
Source: RNAcentral